Molecule: ribosomal RNA, 254 nt
Filed under: uncultured archaeon
Lineage: Archaea
Description: partial 16S ribosomal RNA
Rfam family: Archaeal small subunit ribosomal RNA
Source: RNAcentral
CAGCCAUAAACAAUGUGCGUUAGGUGUGUCGGUAACCACGUGUUACUGAUGCGCCGAGGAGAAGUCGUGAAACGCACCACCUGGGAAGUACGGUCGCAAGGCUGAAACUUAAAGGAAUUGGCGGGGGAGCACCACAACAGGUGGAGCCUGCGGUUUAAUUGGAUUCAACGCCGGACAUCUCACCGGAUAAGACAGCUGAAUGAUUGUCAAUCUGAAGGUUUUACAUGACUAGCUGAGAGGAGGUGCAUGGCGUC